GACGAACGCUGGCGGCGUGCCUAAUACAUGCAAGUUGAGCGCUGAAGGUUGGUACUUGUACCAACUGGAUGAGCAGCGAACGGGUGAGUAACGCGUGGGGAAUCUGCCUUUGAGCGGGGGACAACAUUUGGAAACGAAUGCUAAUACCGCAUAAAAACUUUAAACACAAGUUUUAAGUUUGAAAGAUGCAAUUGCAUCACUCAAAGAUGAUCCCGCGUUGUAUUAGCUAGUUGGUGAGGUAAAGGCUCACCAAGGCGAUGAUACAUAGCCGACCUGAGAGGGUGAUCGGCCACAUUGGGACUGAGACACGGCCCAAACUCCUACGGGAGGCAGCAGUAGGGGAUCUUCGGCAAUGGACGAAAGUCUGACCGAGCAACGCCGCGUGAGGGAAGAAGGGUUUCGGAUCGGAAAACUCUGUUGGUAGGGAAGAACGGUGGUGAGGGUGGAAAGCUCAUCAAGUGACGGUAACUACCCAGAAAGGGACGGCUAACUACGUG
RNAcentral lists this ribosomal RNA (497 nucleotides) under uncultured bacterium. RNAcentral describes it as "partial 16S ribosomal RNA". It matches the Rfam family "Bacterial small subunit ribosomal RNA", at positions 28 to 507 of the family's 1533-position model. The record is from RNAcentral.